GCAGGCGUAGCUCAGUUGGUUAGAGCGCCGGUCUGUGGAACCGGAGGUCGGUGGUUCAAGUCCACCCGCCUGUACCA
Molecule: transfer RNA, 77 nt
Filed under: Pseudolabrys sp. Root1462
Lineage: Bacteria; Pseudomonadati; Pseudomonadota; Alphaproteobacteria; Hyphomicrobiales; Xanthobacteraceae
Also listed under: 6 other names
Description: tRNA-His
Rfam family: tRNA
About the family: Transfer RNA (tRNA) molecules are approximately 80 nucleotides in length. Their secondary structure includes four short double-helical elements and three loops (D, anti-codon, and T loops).
Source: RNAcentral